This 300-nucleotide signal recognition particle RNA is filed under the name Saimiri boliviensis boliviensis (Bolivian squirrel monkey). RNAcentral's name for it is "Metazoan signal recognition particle RNA (ENSSBOG00000000309.1)". It matches the Rfam family "Metazoan signal recognition particle RNA". From Rfam's summary of the family: The signal recognition particle (SRP) is a universally conserved ribonucleoprotein. It is involved in the co-translational targeting of proteins to membranes. The record is from RNAcentral. Lineage: Eukaryota; Metazoa; Chordata; Mammalia; Primates; Cebidae.
GCCAGGCACAGUGGCACGUGCCUGUAGUCCCAGUUACUCAGGAGGCUGAGGUGGGAGGAUCGCUUGAGCCCAGGAGUUCUGGGCUGUAGUGCGCUAUGCCGAUCAGGUGACCGCACUAAGUUCAGCAUCAAUAUGGUGACCUCCCAGGAGCCGGGGGACCACCAGGUUGCCUAAGGAGGGGUGAACCGGCCCAGGUUGGAAAUGGAGCAGGUCAAAACUCCCGUGCUGAUCAGUAGUGGGAUCGCGCCUGUGAAUAGCUACUGCACUCCAGCCUGGGCAACAUAGAGAGACCCUGUCUCU